Molecule: non-coding RNA, 24 nt
Filed under: Arabidopsis thaliana (thale cress)
Lineage: Eukaryota; Viridiplantae; Streptophyta; Magnoliopsida; Brassicales; Brassicaceae
Source: RNAcentral
AUAGAGCUGUCAAAUGGUCCGUCC